CCUACGGGAGGCUGCAGUGGGGGAUAUUGCACAAUGGGGGGAACCCUGAUGCAGCGACGCCGCGUGUGGGAAGACGGUCCUCUGGAUUGUAAACCACUGUCCCCAGGGACGAAAAUGACGGUACCUGGGGAGGAAGCUCCGGCUAACUACGUGCCAGCAGCCGCGGUAAUACGUAGGGAGCGAGCGUUGUCCGGAAUUACUGGGUGUAAAGGGAGCGUAGGCGGGGAUGCAAGUUGGGUGUCAAAACUACCGGCUAAACUGGGAGUCGCACUCAAAACUGCAGCUCUUGAGUGAAGUAGAGGCAGGCGGAAUUCCUAGUGUAGCGGUGAAAUGCGUAGAUAUUAGGAGGAACACCAGUGGCGAAGGCAGCCUGCUGGGCUUUUACUGACGCUGAGGCUCGAAAGUGUGGGGAGCAAACAGGAUUAGAUACCCUGGUAGUC
Molecule: ribosomal RNA, 440 nt
Filed under: uncultured bacterium
Lineage: Bacteria
Description: partial 16S ribosomal RNA
Rfam family: Bacterial small subunit ribosomal RNA
Source: RNAcentral